Hydra vulgaris (swiftwater hydra) is the source of this 1167-nucleotide long non-coding RNA. RefSeq lists it as uncharacterized. Lineage: Eukaryota; Metazoa; Cnidaria; Hydrozoa; Anthoathecata; Hydridae. The record is from RefSeq and is a predicted model, not a curated record.
UUUAAAUUAGUUUACUCAAAUUCGUAUGACGUUUAACGCAUUGUUAUAGAUCUGAGGCGCCGCGAGUAAACAAACCUAUGCGCGCAAAAUUUUUUAGUGUCAUUUUUCUGAAUAAUUUUAAAUAGCAAACGACAUUUUACCGAUAUUUACACUUUUCUAACUAUUUUUUAAAAAAAAAAUGCAAUUACCUAUAAAACUCUUAAAAUUUAGAAAAAGCUCAUCUGUUUUUUAAUGUCAAAUUUGAUAUGUGAGCGCUUCUUAAUAAGAACUUAUUAUUAAUAAAACUUAGACGUCAAAAAUCAUAUUUUCGUUAAAAAGUGAUAUAUAGUUUGCAAGAAUAAAUACUACAAAGUGAAACGAAUUUUUUACAAGUUGUAGGUAAAACUGUAGAUCAUUUAUAGAUCAAACUUUUAGAAAUGAAAACUUAAGUUUACUUGCGGUCUCUUUUCCCUACACUUAGUUUUACAAGUUGUAGGUAAAACUGUGGAUCAUUUAUAGCUUUUUACUUAGUUUUCACUAUUAUUUUAAGGAUUUAAAUUCCUUAUUUUUGUCGAAAAUUUAAACUUUUUUUGUCUCACUUACAAUUUUGUUUUGAUAUUUUUCUGUGAUUAACUUUUCCAAGUAAAAAUUUCGCUUGAGUUUAAAGAUCAUAAAGUGAAAAGGUUUUAAGUGAAAAGGUUUUAUUUAUUUUUUUUUUUUUAGAGUUUUUAGGUGUUGUGGAAUGUUUAAAUAUUUCUUAGGCUAGGCGAGACUAUCGCUAUUUUGGCGCAAAAUCAGGUGAAAAUAUUCUCAAGUUAAAAAUAAUUAAUAUCUGUUCUCUAUUGUUUUGCUAUUGUUAAUUGUAACAAUGAAUAGCGCGGAUUUCUUGGCUUUUAAACAAAACAUUAAACGUUAAACGUCCAUCUAUUAAUACGUCUUUGGUUUACUGUUUAAAACAAACUAAGUUAUUGUUGCGUAAUAGAAGACGUAAUAGAAGUUGCCGAUGUUGUUUUUGGGAACUAUUUGUUGGAGAUGAAAAACUAUUAAAUAAGAGGCAAGGCAACAGUAUUUACAUAAAUGGAACGAGAUACCGAAACAUUUUUGUCGAUGGCUUGUUAAAAAUUGUAAUUUUUAAUCAUUGCAAAUUUUUUAAAUUCAAUGACUUGUUUUAUACUAAAUUAUCUCAAA